This 375-nucleotide ribosomal RNA is filed under the name uncultured bacterium. Its description in RNAcentral is "bacterial SSU rRNA". It matches the Rfam family "Bacterial small subunit ribosomal RNA", at positions 524 to 898 of the family's 1533-position model. The record is from RNAcentral.
UACGUAGGUGGCAAGCGUUAUCCGGAAUUACUGGGUGUAAAGGGAGCGCAGGCGGGAUAGCAAGUCAGCUGUGAAAACUAUGGGCUCAACCCAUAAACUGCAGUUGAAACUGUUAUUCUUGAGUGGAGUAGAGGCAAGCGGAAUUCCGAGUGUAGCGGUGAAAUGCGUAGAUAUUCGGAGGAACACCAGUGGCGAAGGCGGCUUGCUGGGCUCUAACUGACGCUGAGGCUCGAAAGUGUGGGGAGCAAACAGGAUUAGAUACCCUGGUAGUCCACACUGUAAACGAUGAUUGCUAGGUGUGGGGGGUCUGACCCCCUCCGUGCCGGAGUUAACGCAAUAAGCAAUCCACCUGGGGAGUACGGCCGCAAGGUUGAA